GAACUAUCGAUGGCACUAUCGACACUAUCGAUGGUUGGGCGCUAUCGAGCCACUAUCGAUAGCAGCAGACACCUUCGAUAGCGGCCCGUCCACUAUCGAUAGUGCCAUCGAUAGCGGGCGUCUCACAUCGCUAAAAUACUUUAACGCGCAUUUCACACACAACUUCACACAAACAACUGAAAAAUUGUUAAAAUUGACGGGAAUUAUAAAAAAAACUAUUAAAAAUGGAACGCUUUUUAAAAAAAGGUACACGUCGGAGGUCCGCAACACCUACUGCGCCAAGUCCAAACAAACAGGACUGUGAAAGAGCUUUUAGCAAGGCAGGGCAAAUUGUUUCCGAGAGACGCACCCGGCUCAAAGAGAAAAACAUUAACAUCCUGUUAUUUUUGAAUCAAAACUUUUGGUUAAAAUAAACCAUUUUUCUUAAAAACUUAAAAAAAAAA
This is a long non-coding RNA of Drosophila elegans, 443 nucleotides long. RefSeq lists it as uncharacterized. NCBI's taxonomy places the organism in Eukaryota, Metazoa, Arthropoda, Insecta, Diptera, Drosophilidae. The transcript has 2 exons. The record is from RefSeq and is a predicted model, not a curated record.